RNAcentral lists this ribosomal RNA (492 nucleotides) under uncultured bacterium. Its description in RNAcentral is "partial 16S ribosomal RNA". It matches the Rfam family "Bacterial small subunit ribosomal RNA", at positions 29 to 507 of the family's 1533-position model. The record is from RNAcentral.
AGUGAACGCUGGCGGUAGGCCUAACACAUGCAAGUCGAACGGCAGCACAGUAAGAGCUUGCUCUUACGGGUGGCGAGUGGCGGACGGGUGAGGAAUACAUCGGAAUCUACUUUUUCGUGGGGGAUAACGUAGGGAAACUUACGCUAAUACCGCAUACGACCUACGGGUGAAAGCAGGGGAUCUUCGGACCUUGCGCGAUUGAAUGAGCCGAUGUCGGAUUAGCUAGUUGGCGGGGUAAAGGCCCACCAAGGCGACGAUCCGUAGCUGGUCUGAGAGGAUGGUCAGCCACACUGGAACUGAGACACGGUCCAGACUCCUAAGGGAGGCAGCAGUGGGGAAUAUUGGACAAUGGGCGCAAGCCUGAUCCAGCCAUACCGCGUGGGUGAAGAAGGCCUUCGGGUUGUAAAGACCUUUUGUUGGGAAAGAAAAGCAGCAGGUUAAUACCCCGCUGUUCUGACGGUACCCAAAGAAUAAGCACCGGCUAACUUCGUG